RNAcentral lists this ribosomal RNA (83 nucleotides) under Staphylococcus epidermidis Scl25. The record is from RNAcentral. Lineage: Bacteria; Bacillati; Bacillota; Bacilli; Caryophanales; Staphylococcaceae.
UCUGGUGACAAUGGCAAGGAGGUCACACCUGUUCCCAUGCCGAACACAGAAGUUAAGCUCCUUAGCGCCGAUGGUAGUCGGAC